AUACGGAGGAUCCGAGCGUUAUCCGGAUUUAUUGGGUUUAAAGGGAGCGUAGGUGGACAGUUAAGUCAGUUGUGAAAGUUUGCGGCUCAACCGUAAAAUUGCAGUUGAUACUGGCUGUCUUGAGUACAGUAGAGGUGGGCGGAAUUCGUGGUGUAGCGGUGAAAUGCUUAGAUAUCACGAAGAACUCCGAUUGCGAAGGCAGCUCACUGGACUGCAACUGACACUGAUGCUCGAAAGUGUGGGUAUCAAACAGGAUUAGAUACCCUGGUAGUCCACACAGUAAGCGAUGAAUACUCGCUGUUUGCGAUAUACAGUAAGCGGCCAAGCGAAAGCAUUAAGUAUUCCACCUGGGGAGUACGCCGGCAACGGUGAAACUCAAAUGAAUUGACGGGG
RNAcentral lists this ribosomal RNA (393 nucleotides) under uncultured bacterium. RNAcentral describes it as "partial 16S ribosomal RNA". It matches the Rfam family "Bacterial small subunit ribosomal RNA", at positions 523 to 918 of the family's 1533-position model. The record is from RNAcentral.